This 751-nucleotide ribosomal RNA is filed under the name uncultured Bacteroidota bacterium. RNAcentral describes it as "bacterial SSU rRNA". It matches the Rfam family "Bacterial small subunit ribosomal RNA", at positions 569 to 1326 of the family's 1533-position model. Lineage: Bacteria; Pseudomonadati; Bacteroidota. The record is from RNAcentral.
GCGUAGGCGGAAUAGCAAGUCAAUGGUGAAAGCCUGUAGCUUAACUAUAGGAUUGCCAUUGAUACUGUUAUUCUUGAGUGCAGUCGAGGUAAGCGGAAUGCGUGGUGUAGCGGUGAAAUGCAUAGAUAUCACGCAGAACACCAAUUGCGAAAGCAGCUUGCUAGGCUGUCACUGACGCUGAGGCACGAAAGCGUGGGGAGCGAACAGGAUUAGAUACCCUGGUAGUCCACGCUGUAAACGAUGAUCACUCGUUGUUGGCAAUAUAUCGUCAGCAACUUAGCGAAAGCGAUAAGUGAUCCACCUGGGAAGUACGUCCGCAAGGAUGAAACUCAAAGGAAUUGACGGGGGCUCGCACAACCGGUGGAACACGUGGUUUAAUUCGAUGAUACGCGAGGAACCUUACCUGGGCUUAAAUGCUUAGCGAUUCUCCGAGAAAUCGGAGUUCCCUUCGGGGCGCUUUGCAAGGUGCUGCACGGCUGUCGUCAGCUCGUGCCGUGAGGUGUCGGGUUAAGUCCCUAACGAGCGCAACCCCUAUUGUUAGUUGCCAGCGGGUAAUGCCGGGGACUCUAGCAAAACUGCCAGUGUAGGCUGGAGGAAGGUGGGGACGACGUCAAGUCAGCAUGGCCCUUAUGCCCAGGGCUACACACGUGUUACAAUGGUCGGAACAAAGGGCAGCUACCACGCGAGUGGAUGCUAAUCUCCAAAUCCGGCCUUAGUUCGGAUCGAAGUCUGCAAUUCGACUUCGUGAAGG